GAUGAAGAACGCAGCGAAAUGCGAUAAGUAAUGUGAAUUGCAGAAUUCAGUGAAUCAUCGAAUCUUUGAACGCACAUUGCGCCUAUUAGUAUUCUAGUAGGCAUGCCUGUUCGAGCGUCAUUUCAACCCUCAAGCCCUGCUUGGUGUUGGGGCGUCUGCAGCUCCGGCUGCAGGCCCUGAAAUUCAGUGGCGGGCUCGCUAUAACUCCGAGCGUAGUAAUCUCUCUCGCUUUGGAAGUGUAGCGGGUUUCCGGCCGUAAAACCCCCAAAAUUCUGAAUGUUGACCUCGGAUCAGGUAGGAAUACCCGCUGAACUUAAGCAUAUCAAUAAGCGGAGGA
This 337-nucleotide unclassified non-coding RNA is filed under the name soil metagenome. Its description in RNAcentral is "partial contains 5.8S ribosomal RNA, internal transcribed spacer 2, and large subunit ribosomal RNA". The stretch from base 1 to 120 matches the Rfam family "5.8S ribosomal RNA", at positions 35 to 154 of the family's 154-position model. The record is from RNAcentral.